Brassica rapa (field mustard) is the source of this 11957-nucleotide long non-coding RNA. RefSeq lists it as uncharacterized. The record is from RefSeq and is a predicted model, not a curated record. Lineage: Eukaryota; Viridiplantae; Streptophyta; Magnoliopsida; Brassicales; Brassicaceae.
CGCUAAUUCGUCGUAACACUGCUUUUACGACGAAGUAACGAGGAAAACUGCCCUCGUAAAACUUGUGUUUUCUUGUAGUGUUCAUAUAAAAUUGUGUAAUAACACAUGUACGUAAACAUGAAUAAGGUGUGCCAAUGUGCAAUACAUAAGACUCACGUUCUUUGUAAAAAAAUAAAAGAGCAUAGGAUUCACGUUAAAACACUAAGAUAUAUUAUAGGGCAAUCUUUCAAUAGUUUCUUUUAGUUUUUGUCGCAAAAAUAGUCAUCAAAGAAAAAAUUAACCAAAAUUGUUCUUUUUAUUUUGAAAGUUUUAUUUUUUUAAAAAAAAUUUGAACUCCAUCAUCAAAACCCCAUCAUUUAACUUUAACUCUAAUUCUAGAUUAGUUAAUCCUAGGGUAUAAAUGUAUAUUUACACUUUAAUAAAACAUUUUUUUGGCCAUUUUCCUUAUUAACUGAUCCCCUCAUAAAGCCCUCCUUAAUCACUCACACACGAUCUCCAUUCGAUGCGACCCUGGAGAGUGCAAGGCGGUGGAAGUCUACUAUAAAAAGAUAUGAAUUCAUGCUUUCAAAAUCAUCCUUCGUUCUAAACUAAUCAUUAUACAAAAGGUUUGAGUCAUGGCUAACGAUUUGGUUAUCCUCUCCGAUCUACAGACUGGCCACUCUUCCUCCUCCGUUCAAGUUCGCCUGCUCCGAUUUUGGGAGGCCAGGAACGUCCGGCGUGGUGGAGAGCUUAUGUCCUAAUGAGUUGAGCAGCCGGCAAAUAAAACUCAAAGAGAGAAGAGAGAGGUUCAAGUUGUGCUCCGUGGACAAGGACUAGGAGGUUUCUGAUCCGAAUCCUCACAACUCCAUUGUAAGGUCUCUCAACCACAAUUGUACAGGUUCUGCUGAGUACACAAGUCUAAGAUAUCUUGAGAGCUCAUCAGCGGAAUCAAGUUCGGAUCUAGAAAGACGAGACAGAAACAUUCAAGACCUGAAACAAGAGCAGGAGCAACCAAGUCCUGUCUAUUUUCUAGAGAGGAUACGUCUAGAAGAAGAAACAGUAGAAGAGAAGAUUAGGGCCCUGUUCGGUACAGUGACGCUGCGAUCACUUCCGGCGAUCAAAAAUUAGUCAUCGAAGCUGCGAUCAACUUUUAUAAGGAUUUCGGGUGGCUAUUCUGACAGCUGUGUAAAGUAGCGUCACUUAAAAUGGUGAAGCAACUGCUUCUGGGCGUCAAAAGUACCGCUGUCCGUGGUAGUCUCCACAUACUUGGACAAGAAGUUACUUAUAUUUUUGAUUGCAAGUCGCUGACGCAGCGUCUCUGAAAAGAACAGGGCCUAGAUUGCUAGGUUUUGAUGAUUCAGGCAUGAAUCUUCUAGAAAAGGACUCAGUUCACAAGUUUGUGAAGAAAGUUCUUGAAGUUUUAAGACUGAACUGGACUAAUCUCAUGGCAAGAUGCAUCAAAGAAACAUCACUACUCGACGAAUUCUCACACGAAGCUUCUUCUGGUUCUUGAUCACACGGACGAGAUUCUCUAAGAGAUUUGCCGUCAAGACAUCAUCAAGUUUUGGCCUUUUUUUAGAGUUAUCAUCAAUCUACCAUCUUCUUCCUUUAGAGAAGACCUGAUUGACGAGAAGCUGAGACGUUUCGACUGGGGUUUACUCUGCUGUGAAACUCCAAAAACGUUGGAUCAGAUCAUUGAGACUGAUGUGGUAAAGCCAUCAUGUCUUUGGUCGGGUUUUGGUGGUGAAGCUGAAGGUGUUUAUCUGUACCAGAAGAGUAACUGAAAUAAAGGUGGAGAAGGGAUGGUGCAAUGUUUCCUGCUCAAACUGGGCCAAGCAACUUUAGUGCACAGUAUCAUCUUUCACAUGUCUUCCUUGCAACAUACCAGUGCAGUUGGUUUCCUCCGGUACGGUGUGGAGAUGUCCGUUGCAGAUGAAACUGGUAAAGCUUUGUUUGUCUGUUUCGAUCAGGUAAUGACCAAACAUCACAACAUGAGGGCCUUUGAAGCUGACCAUCUUUUGGCUGGUGAUGGUGUCAACCCAGAGGAAACACAGGCCCCACCAUUUGUGUGAGACAUGGUUGGUAAGACCUACACAUUCCAGGUGAGGGUGAGUGCACUUAAAUUCACAGCAAAUCAUCAGACCUUUACUGUCUCGCGCAUCCUCAGUGAGCGUGACCGUGUGCUGCAGCCUGCAUUUGUUGAUAAUCUAAGGUUUAUGGAAUGGAGGCGACGUUUACAAUGGAGAUGACAACCCCGAUGCCAUCACAGUGCCUUCUAAGGUUGAAACUGGUGGACCUAGCCAGGCGCAAGUAGCAUCGGAGAAGGUGAAGAAAGCACGCAAGGCAUAGGUGAAGAGGAUUGGAGUACAAGACGCAGUUUUUCCUGUGUGUUUUUUAAUGCUGAAGUCGUUUAUGUUGUUUUUUUUUUCCUUUUCUGGUGUUUGCUUUAUUAACAAGUUUGACUUUUACACUUUCCUACUUCUAUAGUUUUGGUUUUCUUGAUACCAAAUAUAAAAUAUAUCUCAUUUAGGAAAUAUUUGGUAUUAUAUGGUUUUUUUUAAUUCAAGUUAGUAUUCUCUAUAUUCUGUCAUGAUUGUAAAUAUGAUCAUGUUUAACGUAGGCAAUCAUCCGCAUAUUUUGAGUCCAAUUUGACAACGACAACAUAUACUAAACAUGCGAUGGGUCCAUUCAUAUUCGAUAUUUCCCUUCAUUUGCAUUUUAUUCAACAAAUACUAAAUAUAAAUAUAAUGCUCACACAGUACCUGCGGCUCCAUAAUAGUUAAGAAGCUAAACACAUGACCCGUAUACAUUAUAUUUAUAGUAUACAUAUAUUUUUAGCUUAGCAUUGAACUGGUUUACUUGGUACGCUAUCUCUGAUCCUGUAUGUUCUCAAGUACUGACUUUAUCACUCUCUUCGCCGGAAAAGGAGCAAAUGUGUUCUUCAACAAUUAUAGGCUUCGACGACGGUAUCGUUCACCAGUGUUUUAAGUGUCAUAUUUUGAAAGACUGGACUCCUUCUUCUCUUAUUGUCUUACAUUUGCUACUUUUAUGAAAACCUUUUUCUUAACGCUUAAACAUUGUUUUAAAUUUAAGGUUUCAUAUAAAGAGUCUGUGACACAUAUUAUAUAUAUAUAUAUAUAUAUAUAUAUAUAUAUAUAUAUAUAUAUAUAUAUACUAUGUUUUAAAGAUCCAAGAUAUCCACAAAUAUAUAAUAGAAUUAUAUGCAUACUACAAAGACACCAGAAAGAAAGAGCCAGCAUAAAUUAAAAAAAAAACCCAUGUUUAAUUAAAUAAACUAUUAUGUGUACUUGAAAUAUUCUUUCAUGAAUAUUAUAGCAAGAAAGGUAGAAAAAAAUUAUAACUAACAUUCAGUAAGAGAAUAUUAACUUUAUCGUACAUAUUUAUGUAUAAAUCAAAUUACUCUUUAAUAUAAAAAAUAUAGUUUAAUUAGUCAAACUUCUCAAUUAUUGUACUGUAAAACUUUCAAUGGUUGAUUAGAAAGAGUAAUUUAACUAUAACUAACAAAUCCCUAUAAGGAAAGUUAUAUAUAUAGUUAGAUAUAUGCAAUGAGCAUAAGAAUUUUAAGUCCCCUAAUGAAAUAUAAAACAAAAAGUAGAAAAAUAUAGAAAAAUAAUUAGUAGACCAAUUAAGAUAAUAGUAAUAAAAAACUUUAAAAGUAAAUUAUUAAACCAUAAUAUUAUUAAAUAAGUAAAUAUUAAAUCAGAUGUUUGUCGACGGAAAUGUCAAAGUAUGUUUUGUUUAUUUUCCUAAAAUUGGACUGUAGGCAAAAAAAAAAACAAAUAUCAAUAAAAUUGUAUUAUGUAUAUUAUUAAACCCGUUAAACAUACUACUAUAUUAUAUAAUAAAAGCAGCAUCUUUGGUUCGCUUGGUUUGUUCAGUUAAUAAACCAUACUAUAUCCAUAAACCGUGAUUUUUUAAAUAUAAUAUCAAUUCACUAUAAUCAUUAUUACCAAAUCUAAACCAUGUUUACUGGAUCCGCAUGAACACAAAAUGCUCUACAUUUUGAGACACAAUAUUUUAGUCAAAAUGAUUCUCAUUUUUGCGUACUGUGCUUAGAUUGUCCAAAAUAAUACAUUUGUUGCGUUUUUUUCGUUUCUCUUUAUUUAUUAUUAAACUUAUAACCACGAUCAAUUGCAUUAUAUAUAAGUAAAUAUAACUAAAAAUAGCACAAAAAGCCAAACAAGUAACAAAAAUUGAUAAUAAUAUCAGUUACUAACAUUCACCAAAACAUUUAUACUAACUUACCACACUAUAAAUUCUUUCAAUUCAAAAUUAAAAAUCCAACAAUACUAAGUACUCGGUCAUCAUUAGUUAGUUAUAUAAUUCAAAUUUGGUGUUCACAAUAAUCAUACUCACACCAAAUUUAACAUAAAAAGAAAUUUACACAAAGUAACAUUUUUUAUAAAAAUCAACCCAUCAAAUCCCGCCUGUAAGGCGGGUCUACCCUAGUAUUUGAUAUAGGAUUCGAUUGGUAAUGGCUGUAGAUUUAAAAAAUUUGCUGUAGAAAUAAAUCUGUAGAAUUUUUGAUGUGGCUUUAGAUUUUGUUGUUUUAGAAUUUUAAAGAAAGCUCCAAAAAAUUACGCUGGAUUUUUGGCUAUGUAGACAGUUGUAUGUUAUGUAAAGAGCUGUGAUUUUGAAAUUUUUAUUAAAGUUUGAUUGCUGUGAAUUUAGUGCUGUAUAAAUAAAUGGGGUUGUGAAUAGAACGAAAAGCCUAUAGGCCUAUCAAAGAAUAAAUGAUUAAAUAAAAUCUUAUUUUUUUCUAAAAUUAAAUGGAUUCAAUUGUUUUUGUGCGAAAAAUCUUACUAUAUGAAAAAUAUGUUAGACUUCAAAAUAUAUAUAAAUCUUCAUAGAAUGAAGACAUAAUUUUCUUUAUCUAAUUGAACUUUUAUAUAACAUACCACCAACAGACAGUUAAUUAUUAAUUAAUUAGGAAAGACAUAGCCAACAUGCAGUAAAUUAUAAAAAAAAAAAAAAACUAUGGUGAGUGAUGGGAGGAAUAGUCCAUGUAUAAAUUCUUAAAUGGUUUCUAUUAUGAAGUGGUUAAAUGGUCAAGCUAUUGAAAAUAUAUAACUUUUUAUUAUGAAAAGUUUCAAUAGUUAAGUUUAUGAAACAACACAACUUUUUAAGCAUAGAACAUGUCUUUUGUUUAAGUGAAUUUAUGAUUUUGGACUCAUGAUAUUAAAUGAAACAAUAUCCGUUAGACUAAUGAUUAGACGCUGUCAUGGCAGCGUCAGCGUCUGCGAAACGAACAACAACUGUCCUCAUUGACGCUGCCGCUGCCGCUGACGCAGACGCUGCCGCCGCCGCCGAAACCUGCGGCAACCAAACGAACAGGGCUAUAAACUUCAUCGUUAUCUAUACUAUACUAAAAGCAAUAUAUCCUCAAAGGAGAGGGAUGCCACCUCAGAUUAAAAAAUUAGCCAAUAAAAAUAAAUUAUAGUGCCACAUCAUCAUUAUAUUCUCUGUCUCGCGAAUAUCAUCUACGUUUCCUCUUCCUUUUUUUCCCAAUAAAGAUGGUCUUCCUGUUCAUCUUCCUUUCUCUCAGCGUACAAUUUUUUACUCCCACAAACUCUUUGUCUGCCUUUCUUUACAAUCCAAGCUUUAUUCGAUUUGAAACCAAAAGGAUAACUCAAACCCUAUAAAUAAGAGAAGUUUGCGAUUCCAAUCCCCCUACACCGACACCUUCUAAUCUUUCAUCUACUUGCCAAAAGCCAGACGCCUCCUUCAAGAAUGUAUUCCUCUGACGUUGUUGUUGCCCAAUCAGAUAUCACUCAACCUUUGAUGCUCUCCGAUUUGGUAGGACUUCCCAAUACAUUGUUGGUCGUCUCCUCCUUUUCUGUGGUUCGCUGGGAUUCGCGCAACAUAAAAAAAAAGGGGUUACGGGAAUCAUCCUCCUUUUCCUUGAUGAAAAGGUAUGGUCUUUUCACAAUGUAAAGCAUGAUUUAUUCUAUCUUAGUUUUUAAAUUAAAAAAAAUCUACACUGCGCAUGAUAUAAAGCUUGGAUUGUAAAGAGAUGUUGAAAAACAAAUGUUGACUUCUUCUAUUGAUUGCAUACGCAGAAUUAGGUGAUUCAAAGAUUCAUCCCAUCUGCUCGCGCCGAUCACUACCGUCCAUCUUUAGUGGACGGUUCCAUUAUAAAACUUGAUAGGUAUGAAGUUGCAAGAUGCACAAAUAUGUACAAUAUUACGUUUCAUCUCUCAAACACGUAUUGAUGAACGCCUAACCGCUACUCAUGUGAUUAACCUUCAGGAAUUUAUGCUUCAGAAAUUCCUGCCAUGAGAGAGUUCACAGCCAGCUUGGGAGGUGCAGCAGGAGAGAUCGGAACACUUUCAUCUCCAACUCUAAUCAGCAGGUAGCGCUCAGGCUUACACUAUAGUUUAAUUGUCCUUUGUCACUUGAAAAUAGCAUUUGCUAUCGUAACUGUAUUGACUUUGUGAAGACGCGAGAAGCUGAUUUCAUUUGCAAAGCGCCGAUUGUUGAGGUCCUCCACCAGAAUGGCAGGCCGUUCGUUGCUUGCAUCGGGUGCAACAGAAGUUGGACAAAUGUGGCACUUCUCUUCGUUGCAACAAAUGCGUUUCUCCCAACGUUACCGGUGUUACCCAGGCAUGCAAUUUACAUUCUCACACACAGUUUAGAUAACACUGAGUUUUAAAAGGAUGUUUAUUUUUCCAAACCUUUUUGCAGAGGUACCGUGUCGAGCUAUCAGUUGAUGACGGCAACGAUAAUGCUAUGUUUGUGGUCUUCGACAUGGAGAAAACUAAGCUCGCUAAGAGAGAUGCUGCUGAUCUGGGUGGGUCAUGAGCUGUAUGUUUUUCUCUUUCACCUACACGCUACAUUUGUCUAUAUUUACAAUUGUUACAGUCACCCUGAAUGCCUCUAAACCCUGAAACAAACUACAGAUGAAUGGCGUUGGAGGGCAGGAACUACCGACAUGUCUUGAAGAGCUUGCUAGAAAGGAAUAAUACGUGUCACUUCAUACAUUUUCACAUCAAACCAUCGUACCUUCUUCACCGUCUCUACAAUAAGAGAAAAUAGCUUCUUUGACAACCAAACCAAAACGUUUUCUUCUUGCUAAUUUGAAAUAACACAUUUACAACUAUCUCAGAGAGUAGCAGCAACAACCAAGCCCCAGUUGUUGAAGGGGAAGGUGGAGAAACAGCUGCAUCUGCCAGCAACACUGCUGCAGCAGGAGACGAUGAACCAAAUCCUCCCGGUUUUGAAGCGAUAGAGAAUAGUCGCAAACGCACGCGUGAGUGAUAGUUCCAAGCCCGUCCUGCUGUCAACCCCACUUAGCUUUCGUCUGUUUCGAAUUUCCUAACUUGCUAUGAUUUGAAUCGAUUAUAUAUGAUUUUCAACUUUGAUUUUUCUCUUAAAUUUCUGGCUAAGUCUCUCCCACAAAGAGGACAAUUACUAAUUUUUUAUAUUAAAAAGGCAGUGUUGAGUCUGUUGACAGCAUUUUGCAUAUCGAUAAUGUCCACAACUAAAUACAUCACUACAUGUUUACAUAGACUUUCGUAAAGAAACGUAACUCAGAAAAAAAUGCAUAAAUGUCAGCUCUGUAUCCAUGCAUAUAGGUUGAGAGCAUAAAGCUCUUGAUUUUGUUUUUCUUUCUCUUUGAAAAGGAAUUUGCGAUGAUAAGAUGAAAAUAAAUGCAAACAAACUAGAUAGCCAUAGUAGGCUACAGUUAAAACAACAUUUUUAACACCAUAAUAAGAAUAUAUACACAUACCUACGUAAGUCCAAUAAACAAACAAAUCACAAAACAAUCCAUCCAUAUAUCAACAAACACUUACAAAACCUGACAGAUGCAUUUCGAAUAUCCGAAUGUAUCCAAAAUAGAUUUAUAUACCUACAUAUAUUACUUAUUUUUAGAUUUAAUGUCCAAAUAUAUAAGAUAAUUUUAAGUUGUCCAAAAUAUUUGAAAAUAUAUAAAUAGUCAAAAUUAAAUAUCUAAAAUAGCUAAAAUAUAUUCAAAACACCAAAAUUCUUGAAAUGUCUAUUGAUUUCUUAUUCAAAUAUUCAAAUCAAGCCAAUUUAUAUGUUAAUUUUUAGGUAUUUUGACAUAUGUUAUUCAAUUUUAUAUGUAAUAUAUUAAUUUAUUUAUAGAUUUUGAGAAGAUUUAAGCAUAUAAUAAAUUUUAAAAAUUAAAAAAUAAUUUAAAUUUGUUAUCCGAACCCGCAAAGAUCCGAACCGGAACCGAAACUGAACCAAAAUUUAGAAAUAUCCAAAUGGGGAUGAAAUCUUCGAAUUCAAAAACCAAAACUCGAAUAGACCCGAACCGAACUCGAAUGGGUACCCGACCGUUCAUCCCUAACUCGGCUAAUCCACUUUGCAAUCUCAAAAGGAAUUGCCAAACAUGAGUCACUCUUUUAUAGAUAGAAAUAUAUUCAAAACACCAAAAUUCUUGAAAUAUCUAUUGAUUUCUUAUUCAAAUAUUCAAAUUAAGCCAAUUUAUAUGUUAAUUUUUAGGUAUUUUGACAUAUGUUAUUCAACUUUAUAUGCAAUAUUUUAAUUUAUUUAUAGAUUUUGAGAAGAUUUAAGCAUAUAAUAAAUUUUAAAAAUUAAAAAAUAAUUUAAAUUUGUUAUCCGAACUCUAACCCGAACCGAGCCCACAAAGAUCUGAACCGGAACCGAACCCGAACCAAAAUUUAGAAAUAUCCAAAUGGGGAUGAAAUCUUUGAAUUCAAAAAUCCAAAACUCGAAUAGACCCGAACCGAACUCGAAUGGGUACCCGACCGUUCAUCCCUAACUCGGCGAAUCCACUUCGCAAUCUCAAAAGGAAUUCCCAAACAUGAGUCACUCUUUUAUAGAUAGAAACAACACAACACCAACGUUUAAAUUUGCUCUACUUUAUAAUAUUUUUUUUGGUUUGGUCUUAAACAUGACUAAUUAAUUUGGACUUAUCGCUUGAAUGGUUUAGGAAAGCAGUUCUGUUUUCUUAUCUUACAUAAAUUGAAAAUAUGAAUUCAAUAUCACAACAAAAUCAAGCUCUAAUCAGACACACAACAUAAUACAUCUGUGUAUUUUAGUCCAUCUCACAGUCUUAUACUAAAUGGUCGCCUCAAUCAUAAUGUCAUUUCCGGCAAAGAUUAUGAAGACAAUCGGCUUGAAUUUAACGCCAUGGUAUUGGAAUCAACAUAUAAUCUUUAAAACUCAGCAAUAAAUACCAAAAACUAAAAGUACUGGUAGAGCUAGACCUAGGCACGGUCUGAACAUCAUAGACGAGGCUGAAAUGAAAAAGAUAACAAAUGAAAUAAAAAAUGAAAAAGUGGGAAAAGACAUUCAAAACAAAGAUUAUGGCCAAAAUACGAAAAGAAUAAAUAAGAUGAACCAAAAGCUAGAUAACAAAACAUUUUAAAUUGAUUCAAAUAAAAAUUUAGACGACAAUUUACGACAACAACAAAAUAAUAAAACCAGUAUCUAUAUACUCCCCAAAGUUAACCCGAAUAAUUGAUUUCACUAAAAUCAGUAAAAGAUAAGCACCUAAGUAUUAAUCAUUGUGUAUCGAUCAUUCCCACAAAACAAUUACAUAUAAUAACCACAAAUAAACGUUAAUAUACAAGUCAAACAUAAAAUAACGAUAUGUAUCCACAAAAUACUGAACCAGAAACACAUAAAGCAAGCAGUCGAAAGGGCGAGAUUGAAAAAUAUUCUUAUGUGAUACAUGAGAAAUAAAUAUACAAAGAAACAAUAAACCGACUGGUUAGAAGUGUUAAUCAAAAAAUAUAUAAAUGUACUUUCACAACAAAUGAAAUCCUACUAUCAAUUAUAAUAUUAAUCACAUUUAAAAACAAGAAAUAAAAAUUAAUAUUCACUUUUAUACCAGGAGCAAAAUUCUAAUCUGAUAAAGCAAAUGUUGUAUCCGGUGGUUUGGGAGAAUUUGAACUUCACAAGUCUAACUAUUACUCCCUCUGUUUUAUAGUAGAUGAAGUUUUGGUCAUUUGCACACAUAUUAAGAAAUUAUUUUUUCUAAACAAGAAAUCAUUGAAAUAUAAUUUAAAAUUAAUUUACUUAAUUAUAAACAAAAAAAAUAAAAACACAAUUGGCUACACAUUUUUUGAUUAAUUUAAAGUUACAUAGAUAUGUUAAACUAUCAUCUAUUGUGAAACAAAAACAAUCAUCUAAAACAUUACCUAUAUUGAAACGAAGGGAGUAUAUUUAAAAUGAUACAUAAUUGUAAAUGGGCAUCAACUUCAGAAGAAAAUAAAAUGUGACAUUUAUUGAAUUCAAAAAUGCAUUUUCUUAUAUAAAUACAUAUGUUAUAGUAUUCCUGCAACCAGAAAUGUAAUAUUAUUAAAAUAAAAAAUAAAAUUCGUUGUUAUAAUAUCUCCUCUUAAAUAAAUAAGUAUAUGUUCUUUAUUCACCGAAACAUAAACAUUUAAAAUGAAAAAUAUAAAUGAAUAUAUGACACAUGAGAGUAAAAAGAUUACAAGACAUAAUACAUUACAAACCAAUAUUACAACAAAGACAAACACAAAAACCCAAUUUACUUUACUACAUAUUUUAAAACUAAUCGAAAACAGUGAAUAAAAAUUAGUAUUUACCGCAAGAGGGGGUGUGGCAAGUACCCGCACUCUAAUUUGCUUUUUUCCAUUAUAGUUAGCGCUAAAUUUAAAUAAAUAUACUUAAACCUAACAUAAAAUAAAAUAUUAAAUACAUAUAUCAACAUGAUCAUAUUUUCAUAACAGACAUUUUUCCUUGAGGCUAAUGAUAGUGUAUAAAGCUUCAUUUCAAUGGCAUGAACUCAACUCGCAGAUUCUCCACUUUCUCCACACUCACUUUGUGAAUGAUUCCUUCAAUCUUACCUUCUCUAUUUCUACAACAAUUUCAAAUGGUGUUAAGUUUUUUUUUUGUAACUCCUGAGUGAGUUUAUAGCGUACGAUGAUAGAUUACUACGGAUUAAAUGGAUAGAGAACUCAUGUAUCAACAAUACACAAAUCAUGAAAUAAUCCAUGCAUUGUCUCUUUAGUGUUGUGUAUUGUCAUAUUCGUGCCAUCAAGCAUCAGCCAUUGGCGUCUCUAAUGCUUGGGUAUGAGUGAAGGCAAUAUAUCUUAGUUAACUUUAUUCAUUUGCAUUUUCAUUCACCAUCAUGUAUCCCACAUGUAGUUUUAGAUAUUAAAAAUACAAAAAUUAAGUUUUAAUCCUAUCAAAUCCAAUUUAUAAUUUUGUAAAUUGACCACAAUAUAUAUUAUAUGCAUUACUAUGUUAAAUACAAAUAUAUUUGUCCAGACCCGGGCGUAGCCCGGGAAAAUCCCUAGUAUUUAGAAAGAUGAUUGAAUGUGAGAAGCCCUAUACGAAAAAUAAAUUAAGAAAUUAGUUUGUUGGGGAGAAAGAAAAAUAAAAAAAAAUGCGACGGCUUGAGAGUAGUGCCGUGCGAGUACUUUAGGAGGUCUAAGGCAAAAAAAAAAACUAAAAGCAUUUAUUCUACAUACAUAAACUUUUUAAAAUAAAACAUAUCAAAAUCAUAUAAGACCAUCGUUGAGGAAACAACUGUAGAUACUAUGACUGAGGUUCGAACUUCCGUUGACACCCUCCUACGAAGACUCUUUAACCACUAUACUAUAAAUGAAUUACUGAGAGAAGUGGCCAUAAAACAUAUAUUAUUUGGAGGCCUAAAACAAAUGUCUUUUUCACUACAACAUAGCCAUGAAUGUGCUUGAGAAUAUAAAUGUAGAGAAGUAGUAGAUAGAUUCAAUAGAAAUAAGAACAAUGAUAGAGAUUUAACCACAAGGUGGUGGUCUAGUGGUAGACGAGCUUUGGGAUUGCUAAGCAACCCAGGUUCGAAGGCACCCCACUACAUCUUACCUUGUGGCCACAUGGAUAUGGGCCUAUCUUACGGCCCAUUUGAAUAUCCGGAAUGAGGGUCCAUCCGUGGGCUGCACCACCCCUUUGGGGAUUAGUCUGGGCUCGUUCAUGGGUCUGGGAUACCCCCAAGGUUAAAAAAAAAAAAAAAAAAA